CCCUUAGAUGUUCUGGGCCGCACGCGCGCUACACUGACGAAUGCAACGAGCUUAUAACCUUGGCCGAAAGGUCUGGGUAAUCUCCAAAUUUCGUCGUGAUGGGGAUAGAUUAUUGCAAUUAUUAAUCUUCAACGAGGAAUGCCUAGUAAGCGCAAGUCAUCAGCUUGCGUUGAUUACGUCCCUGCCCUUUGUACACACCGUCCGUCGCUCCUACCGAUUGAAUGGUCCGGUGAAGCGUUCGGACCGUGGCCUUUGGACGGUUCGCCGUCUGUUGGCUGCGGGAAGUUCGUUAAACCUUAUCAUUUAGAGGAAGGAGAAGUCGUAACA
This 327-nucleotide ribosomal RNA is filed under the name uncultured eukaryote. Its description in RNAcentral is "partial 18S ribosomal RNA". It matches the Rfam family "Eukaryotic small subunit ribosomal RNA", at positions 1470 to 1796 of the family's 1831-position model. The record is from RNAcentral.